RNAcentral lists this ribosomal RNA (651 nucleotides) under uncultured Basidiomycota. RNAcentral's name for it is "LSU rRNA". It matches the Rfam family "Eukaryotic large subunit ribosomal RNA", at positions 1 to 633 of the family's 3401-position model. The record is from RNAcentral. Lineage: Eukaryota; Fungi; Basidiomycota.
CCUCAAAUCAGGUAGGACUACCCGCUGAACUUAAGCAUAUCAAUAAGCGGAGGAAAAGAAACUAACAAGGAUUCCCCUAGUAACUGCGAGUGAAGCGGGAAAAGCUCAAAUUUAAAAUCUGGUAGUCUUCGACUAUCCGAGUUGUAAUCUAGAGAAGCGUCAUCCGUGCUGGACCGUGUACAAGUCUCCUGGAAUGGAGCGUCACAGAGGGUGAGAAUCCCGUCUUUGACACGGACUGCCAGGACAUUGUGAUGCGCUCUCAAAGAGUCGAGUUGUUUGGGAAUGCAGCUCUAAAUGGGUGGUAAAUUCCAUCUAAAGCUAAAUAUUGGCGAGAGACCGAUAGCGAACAAGUACCGUGAGGGAAAGAUGAAAAGAACUUUGGAAAGAGAGUUAAACAGUACGUGAAAUUGUUGAAAGGGAAACGCUUGAAGUCAGUCGCAUUGGCCAGGGAUCAGCCUUGCUUUUUUUUGCUUGGUGCACUUCUUGGCUAAUGGGUCAGCAUCAAUUUUGACCAAUGGAAAAAGAUCAAGGGAAUGUGGCAUCUUCGGAUGUGUUAUAGCCUCUGGUCACAUACAUUGGUCGGGAUUGAGGAAAUCAGUAUGCCGCAAGGCCGGGUUUUUUAACCACGUUCGUGCUUAGGAUGCUGGCAUA